RNAcentral lists this long non-coding RNA (221 nucleotides) under Elaeis guineensis (African oil palm). RNAcentral's name for it is "long non-coding RNA (EGUI_LNC012433)". The record is from RNAcentral. Lineage: Eukaryota; Viridiplantae; Streptophyta; Magnoliopsida; Arecales; Arecaceae.
GCCAUUAUUAUCUCUUUAUACAGAGAUGGUGUGAUAAGUUGUUAUGCUAGCCAUUUGGCCCCUAAUCCCUUAAGUUAACAAGCCACAAUCAGAUAGGCUAUUGGGAUGAGGGAUCCACCUACUAAUUCAAGAGAUAGGGUUGUUGGUCGUAGGUGUCGGAUGCGGAUCAUACCCAUGUUUUGAAAAGUUGCUGAGAGGGUUCAUAGAUCUUCCACAUGGAU